This 328-nucleotide unclassified non-coding RNA is filed under the name soil metagenome. RNAcentral describes it as "partial contains 5.8S ribosomal RNA, internal transcribed spacer 2, and large subunit ribosomal RNA". The stretch from base 2 to 119 matches the Rfam family "5.8S ribosomal RNA", at positions 37 to 154 of the family's 154-position model. The record is from RNAcentral.
GUGAAGAACGCAGCGAAAUGCGAUAAGUAAUGUGAAUUGCAGAAUUCAGUGAAUCAUCGAAUCUUUGAACGCACAUUGCGCCCCUUGGUAUUCCGAGGGGCAUGCCUGUUCGAGCGUCAUUAUAACCCCUCAAGCUCAGCUUGGUGUUGGGGCCUGCUGCACUGGCAGCCCUUAAAAUCAGUGGCGGCGCCGUCUGGCUCUAAGCGUAGUAAUUCUUCUCGCUAUGGAGUCCUGGUGGAUGCUUGCCAUCAACCCCCAAUUUUUCUAUGGUUGACCUCGGAUCAGGUAGGGAUACCCGCUGAACUUAAGCAUAUCAAUAAGCGGAGGA